Syngnathus acus (greater pipefish) is the source of this 102-nucleotide long non-coding RNA. RefSeq lists it as uncharacterized. The record is from RefSeq and is a predicted model, not a curated record. Lineage: Eukaryota; Metazoa; Chordata; Actinopteri; Syngnathiformes; Syngnathidae. The transcript has 3 exons.
AGAAGUUGUGCCUGUUCCUGCAGGCAAAGUUCCAGCUGAGGUUGGGCAAUUUUGCGCUGCCAAUGGAGCUAAACCACUGCACAUCGACCUGAACUUCGUCCG